GGGGUAGAAGUUUAGAAAAUAUUUGACCUGCACUCAAAAGUCGGUGUUCCAACACCCUACCUUA
This 64-nucleotide transfer RNA is filed under the name Ibla cumingi. RNAcentral describes it as "tRNA-Ala". Lineage: Eukaryota; Metazoa; Arthropoda; Thecostraca; Iblomorpha; Iblidae. The record is from RNAcentral.